This 517-nucleotide ribosomal RNA is filed under the name uncultured Exiguobacterium sp. RNAcentral describes it as "bacterial SSU rRNA". It matches the Rfam family "Bacterial small subunit ribosomal RNA", at positions 956 to 1478 of the family's 1533-position model. Lineage: Bacteria; Bacillati; Bacillota; Bacilli; Caryophanales. The record is from RNAcentral.
GCAACGCGAAGAACCUUACCAACUCUUGACAUCCCCCUGACCGGUACAGAGAUGUGCCUUCCCCUUCGGGGGCAGGGGUGACAGGUGGUGCAUGGUUGUCGUCAGCUCGUGUCGUGAGAUGUUGGGUUAAGUCCCGCAACGAGCGCAACCCUUGUCCUUAGUUGCCAGCAUUCAGUUGGGCACUCUAAGGAGACUGCCGGUGACAAACCGGAGGAAGGUGGGGAUGACGUCAAAUCAUCAUGCCCCUUAUGAGUUGGGCUACACACGUGCUACAAUGGACGGUACAAAGGGCAGCGAAGCCGCGAGGUGGAGCCAAUCCCAGAAAGCCGUUCUCAGUUCGGAUUGCAGGCUGCAACUCGCCUGCAUGAAGUCGGAAUCGCUAGUAAUCGCAGGUCAGCAUACUGCGGUGAAUACGUUCCCGGGUCUUGUACACACCGCCCGUCACACCACGAGAGUUUGCAACACCCGAAGUCGGUGAGUAACNGUAAGGAGCCAGCCGCCGAAGUGGCAGUNUUGG